AAAGAUUGAGUGGGCUGAUGAUGU
Molecule: non-coding RNA, 24 nt
Filed under: Arabidopsis thaliana (thale cress)
Lineage: Eukaryota; Viridiplantae; Streptophyta; Magnoliopsida; Brassicales; Brassicaceae
Source: RNAcentral